UAGGUUGAUGCUCGCUGGUUUGAGCACUUAGCUGUUAACUAAGAAUUCGCAGGAUCGAAGCCUGCCUACCUAG
Molecule: transfer RNA, 73 nt
Filed under: Arctoscopus japonicus (sailfin sandfish)
Lineage: Eukaryota; Metazoa; Chordata; Actinopteri; Perciformes; Trichodontidae
Description: tRNA-Asn
Source: RNAcentral